This 468-nucleotide ribosomal RNA is filed under the name uncultured bacterium. RNAcentral's name for it is "bacterial SSU rRNA". It matches the Rfam family "Bacterial small subunit ribosomal RNA", at positions 24 to 518 of the family's 1533-position model. The record is from RNAcentral.
UCAGGAUGAACGCUGGCGGCGUGCCUAACACGAUGCAAGUCGAGCGAUCUCUUCGGAGAAGAGCGGCGGACGGGUGAGUAACGCGUGGGUAACCUGCCCUAUACACACGGAUAACGUACCGAAAGGUACGCUAAUACGAGAUAAUAUGCUUUAGUCGCAUGGCUGAAGUAUCAAAGCUCCGGCGGUAUAGGAUGGACCCGCGUCUGAUUAGCUAGUUGGUAAGGUAAUGGCUUACCAAGGCGACGAUCAGUAGCCGACCUGAGAGGGUGAUCGGCCACAUUGGAACUGAGACACGGUCCAAACUCCUACGGGAGGCAGCAGUGGGGAAUAUUGCACAAUGGGCGAAAGCCUGAUGCCAGCAACGCCGCGUGAGCGAUGAAGGCCUUCGGGUCGUAAAGCUCUGUCCUCAAGGAAGAUAAUGACGGUACUUGAGGAGGAAGCCCCGGCUAACUACGUGCCAGCCGCCGC